UCGUGCUAGGUGGGGAACUAGCGGUGCCCUGUACCCGCAAUCCGCUACAGCGGGACGGAAUCCCCAAUCGAGGUCCGACCCUGUGGGACUGCCCGGACAAGUGGUGAUGAAGGUCAGGUCUUGCGCGGCGCAGACCCGUGAACCUGGUCAGGUCCGGAAGGAAGCAGCCAUAAGCGGCCACCUGCGGGUGACGCGAGGUUGCCUGGCCGGAGCUAACUAUCUGCGGUAAGCCGGAGGGCCGUGAUCGACAGCGGGUGCGCGA
RNAcentral lists this signal recognition particle RNA (262 nucleotides) under Chloroflexota bacterium. Its description in RNAcentral is "Chloroflexi bacterium signal recognition particle sRNA large type". It matches the Rfam family "Bacterial large signal recognition particle RNA". Rfam says of the family: The signal recognition particle (SRP) is a universally conserved ribonucleoprotein involved in the co-translational targeting of proteins to membranes. Archaeal SRP consists of a 7S RNA and homologues of the eukaryotic SRP19 and SRP54 proteins. Lineage: Bacteria; Bacillati; Chloroflexota. The record is from RNAcentral.